Molecule: ribosomal RNA, 466 nt
Filed under: uncultured bacterium
Lineage: Bacteria
Description: partial 16S ribosomal RNA
Rfam family: Bacterial small subunit ribosomal RNA
Source: RNAcentral
GACGAACGCUGGCGGCAUGCUUAACACAUGCAAGUCGAACGGAAAGGCCCUGCUUUUGUGGGGUGCUCGAGUGGCGAACGGGUGAGUAACACGUGAGUAACCUGCCCUUGACUUUGGGAUAACUUCAGGAAACUGGGGCUAAUACCGGAUAGGAGCUCCUGCUGCAUGGUGGGGGUUGGAAAGUUUCGGCGGUUGGGGAUGGACUCGCGGCUUAUCAGCUUGUUGGUGGGGUAGUGGCUUACCAAGGCUUUGACGGGUAGCCGGCCUGAGAGGGUGACCGGCCACAUUGGGACUGAGAUACGGCCCAGACUCCUACGGGAGGCAGCAGUGGGGAAUAUUGCACAAUGGGCGGAAGCCUGAUGCAGCAACGCCGCGUGCGGGAUGACGGCCUUCGGGUUGUAAACCGCUUUCGCCUGUGACGAAGCGUGAGUGACGGUAAUGGGUAAAGAAGCACCGGCUAACUACG